Molecule: long non-coding RNA, 844 nt
Organism: Carassius carassius (crucian carp)
Lineage: Eukaryota; Metazoa; Chordata; Actinopteri; Cypriniformes; Cyprinidae
Exons: 2
Source: RefSeq, a predicted model, not a curated record
GGCCUGAAGGUCUGUGUGUGUCCAACACUACAUUACAUGUCAUGAGACACAGAUUGUUUUAGUCAUCCACUUUUUUUGUAGCAGCUUGCAUCACGGGAGUUUGAUUCUGAAUCAGACUGGUUUCCCAUUGUAGGAUGUUUCUUUUUAUUAUGAAGUCUGUUAUGUUAUUCAUCACUCUUUAUUGUGGACCAGUAUAGUAUUAUUCAAAAGUGUGUCUUUAAUACGCACCACCGAUAGGUCACAAACCAUUUUUUUUUUCUUUUUAACUAAAUGAAGGAUUGCUAAAUGAAGUAUUCAAUUUUUUUUGUAUCUAAUGUAAAAAAAAAAACAGGUUUUAAAAACAACAUUGUACAGUAAUUUUGUUGCUGCUUUUUUCUGUCAUUUUUGGAAGUUUAUUUUUUCCAGAAGAGAGGAAAAAAGCCAUUUUUCGACAUAAAUAUAUAUAUAUAUAUAAGUGCAAGAAGUCUGCAGCUCCAGGCAGGAAUGAAAUCAUGUAGAGUAUCUUUAUAUAUGAUGAGAAGGAGCUUCUGCUGGUUUAUUUAGUUUUUUCUGCCUUAACAGAUGAAUAUUCACACUGCAGGAGCUAAUGAAGCGCCGCAGAAUCACUCUUUCUGUGCCUUUUUAACCCAUCACUUCUCGUCAGUAUUGUCUCCUCAUGUUUCUCCAUAUGAAGGUGGUUUCGGAGCCAGAAAUGAAGAUUAUUAUUGUAAUAUUUUUGUUUGUUUAUUUGGUUUUGUCUUCUCAGAUGCCAGCAGUACGUUGCAUGGCCUGCUGUUUUAAGAUUGUAAAAAUGCCAUUUACCUGACAAAUAAAUAAAUAAAAUCCUUUUUAUUUAAAAUCACAA